This 278-nucleotide unclassified non-coding RNA is filed under the name Hevea brasiliensis (rubber tree). The record is from RNAcentral. Lineage: Eukaryota; Viridiplantae; Streptophyta; Magnoliopsida; Malpighiales; Euphorbiaceae.
UGGCGAGCGGGCAGACGGUCUGCGCACCGGUCUAUCCGCGCUGAACGUCACGCCUUGAGUACCCCAAUGGCUUCGGCGGUUGUCGUCAUAAUCCAGUCGCAAGGCGCGCUAUUCUGAAAUCCAAACCGGGGAGGGUCAGAUGGCGGAUAUCGACGGUAUCAAGAUCGCCAGUCUCACGCAUGACUUCGUGACGAAGAAGUCUUUCGUCGGACUGGUCUGGGAAAGCGACGCCAGCAAAUCACUGGGACUGGAGGUACCGUUUUGCUGCAGCCCGGAGC